AACGAACGCUGGCGGCAGGCCUAACACAUGCAAGUCGAGCGAGGACUUCGGUUCUAGCGGCGGACGGGUGAGUAACGCGUGGGGAUGUGCCCUUCUCUACGGAAUAGCCCUGGGAAACUGGGAGUAAUACCGUAUACGCCCUUUUGGGGAAAGAUUUAUCGGAGAAGGAUCAGCCCGCGUUGGAUUAGGUAGUUGGUGGGGUAAUGGCCUACCAAGCCGACGAUCCAUAGCUGGUUUGAGAGGAUGAUCAGCCACACUGGGACUGAGACACGGCCCAGACUCCUACGGGAGGCAGCAGUGGGGAAUCUUAGACAAUGGGGGCAACCCUGAUCUAGCCAUGCCGCGUGAGUGAUGAAGGCCUUAGGGUUGUAAAGCUCUUUCAGCUGGGAAGAUAAUGACGGUACCAGCAGAAGAAGCCCCGGCUAACUCCGUG
Molecule: ribosomal RNA, 433 nt
Filed under: uncultured bacterium
Lineage: Bacteria
Description: partial 16S ribosomal RNA
Rfam family: Bacterial small subunit ribosomal RNA
Source: RNAcentral